This 443-nucleotide ribosomal RNA is filed under the name uncultured bacterium. RNAcentral describes it as "partial 16S ribosomal RNA". It matches the Rfam family "Bacterial small subunit ribosomal RNA", at positions 338 to 795 of the family's 1533-position model. The record is from RNAcentral.
CCUACGGGUGGCAGCAGUGGGGAAUAUUGGGCAAUGGGCGCAAGCCUGACCCAGCAACGCCGCGUGAAGGAAGAAGGCUUUCUGGUUGUUAACUCCUUUUGUCAGGGACGAAGCAAGUGACGGUACCUGACGAAUAAGCCACGGCUAACUACGUGCCAGCAGCCGCGGUAAUACGUAGGUGGCAAGCGUGAUCCGGAUUUACUGGGUGUAAAGGGCGUGUAGGCGGGACUGCUAGUCCGAUGUGAAAACCACGGGCGCAACCUGUGGUCUGCAUUUGAAACUGUAGUUCUUGAGUACUGGAGAGGCAGACGGAAUUCCUAGUGUAGCGGGGAAAUGCGUAGAUAUAAGGCGGAACACCAGUGGCGAAGGCAGACUGCUGGACAGCAACUGACGGUGAGGCGCGAAAGCGUGGGGAGCAAACAGGAUUAGAUACCCUAGUAGUC